This 253-nucleotide ribosomal RNA is filed under the name uncultured bacterium. Its description in RNAcentral is "partial 16S ribosomal RNA". It matches the Rfam family "Bacterial small subunit ribosomal RNA", at positions 524 to 776 of the family's 1533-position model. The record is from RNAcentral.
UACAGAGGCCUCGAGCGUUAGGCGGAAUCACUGGGCUUAAAGCGUGUGUAGGUGGAUGCCUAAGUACCUUGUGAAAUCCCACGGCUUAACCGUGGAACUGCUGGGUAUACUGGGUGUCUUGAGCCACUCAGGGGCUACCGGAACAAGCGGUGGAGCGGUGAAAUGCGUAGAUAUCACUUGGAACGCCAAUGGUGAAAACAGGUAGCUGGGGGUGUGCUGACACUGAGACACGAAAGCCAGGGGAGCAAACGGG